CACGUAGUUAGCCGGUGCUUAUUCUUCAGGUACCGUCAUUAGCGAAGGAUAUUAGCCCUCACCGUUUCUUCCCUGACAAAAGAGCUUUACAACCCGAAGGCCUUCUUCACUCACGCGGCGUUGCUGGAUCAGGCUUUCGCCCAUUGUCCAAAAUUCCCCACUGCUGCCUCCCGUAGGAGUCUGGACCGUGUCUCAGUUCCAGUGUGGCUGGUCGUCCUCUCAGACCAGCUACUGAUCGUGGCCUUGGUGAGCCUUUACCUCACCAACUAGCUAAUCAGAUAUCGGCCGCUCCAGGAGCACAAGGUCCGGAGAUCCCCUGCUUUCAUCCUUAGAUCGUAUGCGGUAUUAGCGUAACUUUCGCUACGUUAUCCCCCACUCUUGGGUACGUUCCGAUAUAUUACUCACCCGUUCGCCACUCGCCGCCAGGUUGCCCGCGCUGCCGUUCGACUUGCAUGUGUAAAGCAUGCCGCCAGCGUUCAAUCUGAGCCAGGAUCAAACU
RNAcentral lists this ribosomal RNA (499 nucleotides) under uncultured Massilia sp. Its description in RNAcentral is "partial 16S ribosomal RNA". Lineage: Bacteria; Pseudomonadati; Pseudomonadota; Betaproteobacteria; Burkholderiales; Oxalobacteraceae. The record is from RNAcentral.